RNAcentral lists this ribosomal RNA (449 nucleotides) under uncultured bacterium. Its description in RNAcentral is "partial 16S ribosomal RNA". It matches the Rfam family "Bacterial small subunit ribosomal RNA", at positions 338 to 795 of the family's 1533-position model. The record is from RNAcentral.
CCUACGGGUGGCAGCAGUGGGGAAUUUUGGACAAUGGGGGCAACCCUGAUCCAGCCAUUCCGCGUGAGUGAAGAAGGCCUUCGGGUUGUAAAGCUCUUUUGUCCGGAGCGAAACGGGCGGCCCUAAUACGGUCGUCUACUGACGGUACCGGAAGAAUAAGCACCGGCUAACUACGUGCCAGCAGCCGCGGUAAUACGUAGGGUGUUAGCGUGAGUCGGACGUACUGGGCGGAUUGCGUGCGCCGGAUGUGAAAUCCCCGGGCUCAACCUGGGAAUGGCAUUUGGGACUGCAAGGCUGGAGUGUGGCAGAGGGGACUAGAAUUCCUGGUGUAGCAGUGAAAUGCGUAGAUAUCAGGAGGAAUACCGAUGGCGAAGGCAGGUCCCUGGGUUAACACUGACGCUCAUGCACGAAAGCGUGGGGAGCAAACAGGAUUAGAUACCCUUGUAGUC